UUUUUGGCAACUUAUUUUCAUCCCUUUAGAUCCAAUUUUGGAAUUGGUUCAUGCUCUCUCAACCUUUAGGGGAGAUAAAUAUCUCAGGGAAAAUUAGCUGAUUGCAGUGGAAAAUUUUCUGCUAGAAGAUUCAUUCUUGUAUAGACACGCUUGGUACGCGUCACCAUUAAUAAACACCAAGAAUAUGGUCAAAGCCGAAAGCAAGAGUCUCACUAAAAUCUUGACUUUUGAC
Molecule: unclassified non-coding RNA, 232 nt
Filed under: Hevea brasiliensis (rubber tree)
Lineage: Eukaryota; Viridiplantae; Streptophyta; Magnoliopsida; Malpighiales; Euphorbiaceae
Source: RNAcentral